AGGACGAACGCUGGCGGCGUGCUUAACACAUGCAAGUCGAACGAUGAAGGAGGAGCUUGCUCCUCCGGAUUAGUGGCGAACGGGUGGGUAAUACGUGAGCAAUGUGCCCUUGACUCUGGGAUAAGCGCUGGAAACGGCGUCUAAUACCGGAUACGACCCUCGGAGGCAUCUCCUGUGGGUGGAAAGAACUUCGGUCAAGGAUCAGCUCACGGCCUAUCAGCUAGUUGGUGAGGUAACGGCUCACCAAGGCGACGACGGGUAGCCGGCCUGAGAGGGUGACCGGCCACACUGGGACUGAGACACGGCCCAGACUCCUACGGGACGGCAGCAGUGGGGAAUAUGCACAAUGGGCGCAAGCCUGAUGCAGCAACGCCGCGUAGGAGGGACGACCGGUCCGUUCGGUUACGUUAAACCUUCUUUUAGCGAAGGGAAGAAGCGAGAGUGACGGUACCUGACAAGAAAGCGACCGAUAAC
RNAcentral lists this ribosomal RNA (474 nucleotides) under uncultured soil bacterium. RNAcentral's name for it is "bacterial SSU rRNA". It matches the Rfam family "Bacterial small subunit ribosomal RNA", at positions 26 to 501 of the family's 1533-position model. The record is from RNAcentral.